GACGAACGCUGGCGGCGUGCUUAACACAUGCAAGUCGAACGGUGACGAGGAGCUUGCUCCUCCGAUCAGUGGCGAACGGGUGAGUAACACGUGAGUAACCUGCCCCAGACCCUGGGAUAACAGUUGGAAACAGCUGCUAAUACCGGAUACGAGACGGAGAGGCAUCUCUACCGUCUGGAAAGAUUUAUCGGUCUGGGAUGGACUCGCGGCCUAUCAGCUUGUUGGUGAGGUAAAGGCUCACCAAGGCGACGACGGGUAGCCGGCCUGAGAGGGCGACCGGCCACACUGGGACUGAGACACGGCCCAGACUCCUACGGGAGGCAGCAGUGGGGAAUAUUGCACAAUGGGCGAAAGCCUGAUGCAGCGACGCCGCGUGAGGGAUGACGGCCUUCGGGUUGUAAACCUCUUUCAGCAGGGAAGAAGCGAAAGUGACGGUACCUGCAGAAGAAGCACCGGCUAACUACGUG
Molecule: ribosomal RNA, 467 nt
Filed under: uncultured bacterium
Lineage: Bacteria
Description: bacterial SSU rRNA
Rfam family: Bacterial small subunit ribosomal RNA
Source: RNAcentral